This 484-nucleotide ribosomal RNA is filed under the name uncultured bacterium. RNAcentral describes it as "partial 16S ribosomal RNA". It matches the Rfam family "Bacterial small subunit ribosomal RNA", at positions 29 to 507 of the family's 1533-position model. The record is from RNAcentral.
AUUGGACGCUGGCGGCAUGCUUUACACAUGCAAGUCGAACGGCGGCGCGGGCUUCGGCCUGGCGGCGAGUGGCGAACGGGUGAGUAAUACAUCGGAACGUGCCCAGUAGUGGGGGAUAGCUCGGCGAAAGCCGGAUUAAUACCGCAUACGACCUGAGGGUGAAAGCGGGGGAUCUUCGGACCUCGCGCUAUUGGAGCGGCCGAUGGCAGAUUAGCUAGUUGGUGGGGUAAAGGCCUACCAAGGCGACGAUCUGUAGCUGGUCUGAGAGGACGACCAGCCACACUGGGACUGAGACACGGCCCAGACUCCUACGGGAGGCAGCAGUGGGGAAUUUUGGACAAUGGGCGAAAGCCUGAUCCAGCAAUGCCGCGUGUGUGAUGAAGGCCUUCGGGUUGUAAAGCACUUUUGGCGGGAACGAAAAGGACUGUGCCAAUACCACGGUUCGAUGACGGUACCCGCAGAAUAAGCACCGGCUAACUACGUG